CUACCCCCAAUGCCCACAGCCAGACCUCACCCUCGGACUCAAGCGGCAUACCGAUCCGGGAACCAUCACGCUGCUCCUUCAGGAUCAGGUGGGAGGGCUCCAGGCCACUAGGGAUGGCGGAAAGACUUGGAUCACCGUUCAACCUGUUGAAGGAGCUUUCGUCGUCAACCUUGGCGACCACGGUCAUGUAAGCAUCAUAACCGGCGAAAGGCUGAAGCUAAUCUUUUCUUUGUCUUUGUCUUUUAAUUUAAUUUUAUAGAUAAGGUAGAAAUUCUCUUGUUCAUUGGUUUUCUUUAUGUGGUCAACAUCCACAAUAGUCCUUCCUGAUAUGGUAUUCAAAUUCAUGCUACCCGAACCCGAAAGAGAGAGUGAUUAUUGGUUUGGUAUGGUGCAGUAUCUGAGCAAUGGGAGGUUCAAGAAUGCUGAUCACCAAGCGGUGGUGAACUCCAAUCAUAGCAGACUGUCCAUAGCAACAUUCCAAAACCCCGCACCGGAGGCAAC
RNAcentral lists this long non-coding RNA (501 nucleotides) under Vitis vinifera (wine grape). RNAcentral's name for it is "long non-coding RNA (VVIN_LNC001196)". Lineage: Eukaryota; Viridiplantae; Streptophyta; Magnoliopsida; Vitales; Vitaceae. The record is from RNAcentral.